CUGACACCGGGACGCGAAGAACCUCGGGCUGCACGACGGUCGCCACGGCAGCGCAGCUGCCUGGUCCGGGGGGAGCGAAUGGCGAGACCGACCCGGCUUCAU
This 102-nucleotide non-coding RNA is filed under the name unclassified sequences. RNAcentral's name for it is "c-di-GMP sequence". It matches the Rfam family "c-di-GMP-II-GAG riboswitch aptamer". The record is from Rfam by way of RNAcentral.